Molecule: ribosomal RNA, 426 nt
Filed under: uncultured Hydrocarboniphaga sp.
Lineage: Bacteria; Pseudomonadati; Pseudomonadota; Gammaproteobacteria; Nevskiales; Nevskiaceae
Description: bacterial SSU rRNA
Rfam family: Bacterial small subunit ribosomal RNA
Source: RNAcentral
AGUGGGGAAUAUUGGACAAUGGGCGAAAGCCUGAUCCAGCAAUGCCGCGUGUGUGAAGAAGGCCUUCGGGUUGUAAAGCACUUUAGGCUGGAAAGAAAAAGCUUUGGCUAAUAUCCAAAGCCUUGACGGUACCAGCAGAAUAAGCACCGGCUAACUCUGUGCCAGCAGCCGCGGUAAUACAGAGGGUGCAAGCGUUAAUCGGAUUUACUGGGCGUAAAGCGUGCGUAGGCGGCUAUUUAAGUCGGAUGUGAAAGCCCUGGGCUUAACCUGGGAACUGCAUUCGAUACUGGGUAGCUGGAGAUCGGUAGAGGGCGGCGGAAUUCCGGGUGUAGCGGUGAAAUGCGUAGAUAUCCGGAGGAACACCGAUGGCGAAGGCAACCGCCUGGGCCUGAUCUGACGCUGAGGCACGAAAGCGUGGGGAGCAAA